This 475-nucleotide ribosomal RNA is filed under the name uncultured organism. RNAcentral describes it as "partial 16S ribosomal RNA". It matches the Rfam family "Bacterial small subunit ribosomal RNA", at positions 331 to 797 of the family's 1533-position model. The record is from RNAcentral.
GUACACUCCUGCGGGAGGCAGCAGUGGGGAAUAUUGCACAAUGGGCGCAAGCCUGAUGCAGCCAUGCCGCGUGUAUGAAGAAGGCCUUCGGGUUGUAAAGUACUUUCAGCGGGGAGGAAGGCGAUAAGGUUAAUAACCUUGUCGAUUGACGUUACCCGCAGAAGAAGCACCGGCUAACUCCGUGCCAGCAGCCGCGGUAAUACGGAGGGUGCAAGCGUUAAUCGGAAUUACUGGGCGUAAAGCGCACGCAGGCGGUCUGUCAAGUCGGAUGUGAAAUCCCCGGGCUCAACCUGGGAACUGCAUUCGAAACUGGCAGGCUAGAGUCUUGUAGAGGGGGGUAGAAUUCCAGGUGUAGCGGUGAAAUGCGUAGAGAUCUGGAGGAAUACCGGUGGCGAAGGCGGCCCCCUGGACAAAGACUGACGCUCAGGUGCGAAAGCGUGGGGAGCAAACAGGAUUAGAAACCCGGGUAGUCCCA